RNAcentral lists this ribosomal RNA (430 nucleotides) under uncultured rumen bacterium. RNAcentral describes it as "bacterial SSU rRNA". It matches the Rfam family "Bacterial small subunit ribosomal RNA", at positions 354 to 776 of the family's 1533-position model. The record is from RNAcentral.
GUGGGGAAUAUUGCGCAAUGGGCGAAAGCCUGACGCAGCGACGCCGCGUGAGGGAUGAAGGUCUUCGGAUCGUAAACCUCUGUCAGAAGGGAAGAAGUUAUGACGUGCUAAUCAACGUCAUAUUGACGGUACCUUCAAAGGAAGCACCGGCUAACUCCGUGCCAGCAGCCGCGGUAAUACGGAGGGUGCGAGCGUUAAUCGGAAUUACUGGGCGUAAAGCGCAUGUAGGCCGUGUGGCAAGUUAGGGGUGAAAUCCCAGGGCUCAACCUUGGAACUGCCUCUAAAACUACCAUGCUUGAGUGCGAGAGAGGAUAGCGGAAUUCCAGGUGUAGGAGUGAAAUCCGUAGAUAUCUGGAAGAACAUCAGUGGCGAAGGCGGCUAUCUGGCUCGUAACUGACGCUGAGAUGCGAAAGCGUGGGUAGCAAACAGG